UAAUGGCAAAUUCAUCAUAUAGAUUCUCAAAACUGCUUGUUUGAUCGACACGCCCUCACUCCACUUGUUUAAUUACUUGCAGCUCCAUCUUUUCUUUAGGAAUGGAUUAGGGACUGGACAACUGUACUUGCAGCUCCAUCUUUUCUUUAGGAAUGGAUUAGGGACUGGACAACUGUACUUAUCCUUUGUGGGAUCUAGGUCUACUUCCUUUCUAGCGGAGGAUUAAGCAGUAGAUAAUAAUACCCAAGCAUGAGAACUCGGAUACUAUAUCAUUGUAGAUAAGCCUAUCAUCCCUGAUUAAGCAGUAGAGAAUACCCAAGCAUGGGAACUCGGAUACUAUAUCAUUGUAGAUAAGCCUAUCAUCCCUCGUUCCAUGGUGGAGUGAUUUUAUACCUUUCUCAGUUCGAUAAAAGUAGCCAUCAAGUUCCAAAAUCCGGGGAAUCCAUUUAUUCUUUAGUAAGGCCUGUGGUAGGGCAAGGCAAUCAGUAGUUCCUGUUCCUUAAGUGAGGGUCGAUAUAAUUGUUUAUUACUCGUAAUAGAAGGGUGUGAUAACAAUUUGUUCUGCAUAAAUUCCUUUUCUUUUGGAAGUGGAAAGCUCGAAAGAAAGUCCGAAUGUAUUGUACCCUGAGCACCUGCUCUUGUUGCGAGGUUCCUGACGUUUCAAUAUGAACAAGCCAUCACCUGUUAACGUCCAGUGGGUCUCAAGCCCUUACUCCAUUAUCCCGUAAACUACCUAUUGCCCUAGAUGUCAGAGUUUUUAGAGUUCGAGGCAUAGCCCGGGCCCGGGUGCUUUUCUCGAAGCUGGAAUUCCAUUCAAAAAGGCUUUCAGCACCUCUGAGGGAGGGUCACAUCACAGGGAAUGCAGAAAGACAGGAAUCGUUUUGACAGCUUUUAAGGGAUUGCUUUUGGAUAAGGGAAGUCGGGAAGUGAGGAAGCCACCCCAAAAGUACUCCUAUUGUUGGAGUUAGUCUAGUUAAACAGGAUUAGUGAUGAGAAGGAUAUUACUGAAUUUGGAAUCUAAGCUUCCGCCCUAACGCCUGUUGAAGUACCAGGGUCGAGUCGAUGGUAAGUGGUAAUUUAUGGGCUACAUGCAUAUUGAACAGUGGGAACUGUAAACGGAAUUGAUAGCUUAGACAAUAACACUAACUUUAGCUGGCUGCCUUUAGGAUCGUACCUAGGGCACAGGCUUGCAGAACUUUAUUGCUAUCUUUACUAUCGCACGGGCAACAGCUAUCCACACUAAACAAGGGCGUGUCAGCGGCAGGCAAGAAGUGGAAAAGGUAGACCGCUUUAAUAUGGCCCUUUACUCUAUCAAGCUCUUUUGCCAUACUCUCGAGGCACUUACUAAGAGACGCAGCAAAAGAAUCAAAUCAUAGGAAAGUGCUAACCAUGCUAAGACCGUUUACGCCGACAACAGCUUUCUUGGAUGAUCCUUCACUAAUAAUGCUUCAUGAUAGAGACAUGGAAUUGGAAUCGGAUCCAACAUGUGCAGAAAAAGCCUAUGAUUCAGAAAUGGCCCUAUACCAAGCCCUUGUUUAGAAAGUGCAAUUAUUCCCUUCCUAAAAACCCGUAUUGCAUUUGUCCUUAAUAGAGCAUUUAUCCCACUAAGCACUCUCGUUCUAGCUUUCGCUUUCCUUUCAGUUGGAUUGCAUCCAUCUUUCUCCGCUUUCAUGGUUUUCGCCUAGCCCUCUCUGCUUGCUUUAGAGUAGAGCACGGCAAAAGCCUUCCGUGCCACAAGGACAAGUGGCAACUAGGUUAAUUGGGAAGAAACCUAUCUCUGGUUGUGGGAAAGGCUCGUUGAGACCUUUACGCCGACAUGAAAUCGAUUUGCUUUGGCUGGUAGCUGUGCCAAGGCAAGUCUAUUUAUAUUUACUUGUUUUCUCGAAUCAUCUACUAAUCACACGUUUUGAAUCGAUCUAACUGCUUAGCUUAUCUUAUGUGGGCAUACGGAUUCGACUAGCAUUCACGUGGGUAGCAUUUGCAUGCGGGGAACAACCACCCGAAGAGGGAUUCGACUUCACUUUCUUUCCUAUGGUGCUAUCCUAUUAUCAGAGUAAGUCAAUAGUUGUAUCAGAGUAAGUCCAUAGUUGAUCUUCGACUAGCAGCUUUUUUCGUGGAAAUCAUUUUAGGUAAUGGCUUUCUUUGACGUUUAGCAAGGCGGAAAGAAAGAAGCAUUAAACCACUCGCGGGGCCAUGAGGCUUGUCUAGGCCCAUUUUCUUAACCACCUGCUCUACCUCUUUCGCUGUAACCUCAUUAAUGAGUGAUUCUCGAUGUGCAAAGAAGCCUAUAGCCGGAAAAAAGACACUACGAUAGCCAUGCCCACUAGAUGCAAAAAGUGUAGUGAAGCCUGUCUUUUGAUCUUGGCUUCCCUAGUAAGCAUAGUCCCACUCUCAUCCUUUCUUAUCCUCUGAUUUCGCCCUGAUUUCUUUUAGUGUUGCGUGGAAGUCGCUCCCUCCUUUAGCAAAGAGAGUAGGGACUUCCUUCUGCUUAAAGAAGACCUCUUCUCUAUAAAGGGCAGGGCUUGGUUCAACUCAUCCAAUUUGAUAAGAUCAUCUUAUGCCAGCUAAUCUUCCAAUUCCUAAUGGCACCCGCUUCCACUCUUUCACUUGUCUACUAAAAAACUACACUACACGAGAGAACUAGGUUUCAAAGCAAACCAUGAAGAGUAGAAAGAAUUCCCAUAUGUUGAGGACUUGCAGGCAGAACAAAAAGCUUGCUAAAUUCAUAUGUAUAAAGAAAGUCUAAAUUGUAGGACUGUUUGGGGAAUCAAAUAAUCUCUAUUCUAAGCCAAGUCGUACCAUCCCCUUCGAUACGAAAAACGAUUUCUUUAUUAUAUUUCUAGAGGUUAUUGUAUUAUUUGAGAGGUUAUUGUAUUAUUUGACCGUUAUUAUUAACUCUUUGCUCUAGUCCAAUCCCUUGUUGUCGUAUAGCUAGUAGGUUUGAGAAUUAUUGGCCUUAGUCUAAAAGUGGUAUUCUCUUCACAUCCAUCUUCCGGAUAGAGAGACUUUCCAAUUCCAUUCCGCACAUAGCUCACGAAUGAGACGGGCCUCAAAAGAAGUUAUGCUAGGAUUAAGUCGACUGCGAAGUGCUGCUUCCACUACUUAUACUUGGUCAAGGCUUUGGAGCUAUCCUAAUGAUAGGACCCGCUGUUUUCUCCCAGUGUAUUAAUUAUCGCUCUUUCAGCAAACUUUCAUUCUAUAGCUGGGCUUGCCAUCUUACUAUUCUCUACUUUGGUGGGGUGAUGUAAGGUUUCUACAGGUUGAAUGCACAGGUAUAUUGCUUUUUGAGUUCAUUUUCUCAUCUUCUUUCUUUUCUAUAUUGUGCUUCCUCUAAUUCUGCCUCAACAGAUGCAUUCUAUUCAUUAAGCUUCAGUUUCUAUUCCCUGAGGGCAAAAGAUUUCUAUAAUUCAGCCUCUUCAACAACGACCACAUAGUUUCCCGAGGUUCCAGUGCCACCGCUCUUCUGAUUCCCCACUUGCAUUACUAGGGCUUCUGCGAAUAGAAUCUCUGCUCCCUCAAUUUACUGUCAUUUGCCCCAUGGUGCGCUUAUGCUUGGCCAGAUAAAGAUUCUUCCCCUUGGUAUUUGUAUUCUGUCUACAUUCUCACUCCAGUUUACAUAAGGAUAACCUACUCAUUUCUGAGGCGGGGCAUUACAUACCUUUCACGUAAGAAUAAGGGGUGGGUGUACUGGUCUAAGUCCUAGAUUCAAAAGGGGUUCGCUAACCACCUGCCCUUGAAAGUAGAUCUGUCCUAUAAGGAACGUUAGCCAUACCAUGUAACUACAAGACGAGGGAACCUAAGGAAGGUCUCUUUGCGAAGAGGUUUAGGGUAAAUAUUCUUGACCGUAACCUUGAUUCAAGCCCGAGAAUCCACGCAUAAAUGAAGGGGACCAUCUGGAAAAGAAGAUAGGGGCACCUUAGAGUUAGAGGCUUGGAUAAAAGGAGCGUCCAGUAGUGGAGUGUCAUUUUCCUUGGCUUGCCCCAUGUUAUGCUUUCCAUUUCUAUAUAUAAGCAGAGGAAGCAGUUAACCCAGAACCAGCAGAAGUAGCUGCGUCGAAGGCGAAGGGCUAGUGCAAGGCAGAAUCGUAAGUCAACCAGAAGUCGAGUUAGAACCGGAAGUCCUUGUUGUCGAAGCAGAACUAGAAGUCUUCUUGGUGCAAGAGCCAGAACUCGAAGGCUAAGUCAGCACACCUGCUCUAAAGCAAUCUUGCCUACUCAUUAGUGGGAUUGGGUAUAAGAAACACUUUACAAAGGCUUGGUUAACGCGGGCUUUUGUGUGCCAUUGGGAUAUCAAUCUAGGGUUACAAUUCCAAGCAGCGACUUUUCUGUCCGUGCAUAUCGUCAAUCAUGUAACAAGUUAGGUACGCAAGAGAUGCUAAGACAGUGGCAACCUCCAACGCCAGGUAUCAGUUAAAGGUCCCGGACGCCCCCUAUUCCAAUUAAUGAAAAUGGAUGAAUAUAGUUUGAUUUGAUUCGAAAAACUAGAAUCUAGAUCGGUUUGGCUUGAAGAACUAAAUAUCGGCAGUCGAACCCCACCCAUACUAAUUACUAACUAAAAGCAGAGGAAGAGGACUAACGUAAGGCAGAGACAGAGACAUAGGGCUAACGUAAGGCGGAGACAGAGACAUAGGGCUAACGUAAGGCGGAGACAGAGGAUGAAGCGAAAUAAAAGUAACCCGACUCGUGCAUCAGCGGCGUCAAUGAGCUCCCCAAUUCCUAUCUGAGCACUCUCAUCUUUUCCUUUUCAGAAAUCCAAUGGAGUUCAACAGAAUGGAAUGAUUAAUGUCAAAGUUCAAGUCAGAGGUAAGCUGCCCAACUUAGAUAAGCGAGACCGCAGCUCAUUCAUUCCAGUAGGCUGUGUCUGUAGUGAAACUUCUUCAGCGCCUAGCUGUUCCAUAAAGGGGUAACGGGGUAACUUCACAGAGCAUUGCUUCAAAACGAAUUCAGGACUUCUUACUAACUUAGCGCUAACCUAACUCAAAACUAAGCCUCUGUCCUAUCUGUCCUAAUUUGGUAAUGUAUAGGGUACUACACUCCUUAACUCGCGCUGUUUACAAGAGUACUCAACUCCUAAACU
RNAcentral lists this long non-coding RNA (5076 nucleotides) under Musa acuminata (dwarf banana). RNAcentral's name for it is "long non-coding RNA (MACU_LNC008787)". Lineage: Eukaryota; Viridiplantae; Streptophyta; Magnoliopsida; Zingiberales; Musaceae. The record is from RNAcentral.